This 345-nucleotide ribosomal RNA is filed under the name uncultured bacterium. RNAcentral describes it as "bacterial SSU rRNA". It matches the Rfam family "Bacterial small subunit ribosomal RNA", at positions 29 to 356 of the family's 1533-position model. The record is from RNAcentral.
AACGAACGCUGGCGGUGUGCCUCAUACAUGCAAGUCGUACGCGAAUCCUGCCGCAAGGCAGGGUUUGAGUGGCAAACGGGUGCGUAACACGUAGGUAAUCUUCCUUUGAGUUGGGGAUAAGCCCUCGAAAGGGGGUCUAAUACCGAAUAACACUUCGGGCCGGCAUCGGCCUGAAAUUAAAGAUGGCCUCUGCUUGCAAGCUAUCGCUCGGAGAUGAGCCUGCGGCCGAUUAGUUAGUUGGCGGGAUAAAAGCCCACCAAGACUUCGAUCGGUAGCCGGUCUGAGAGGAUGUCCGGCCACACUGGGACUGAGAUACGGCCCAGACUCCUACGGGAGGCAGCAGUA